AGUGAACGCUGGCGGUAGGCCUAACACAUGCAAGUCGAACGGCAGCACAGUAAGAGCUUGCUCUUACGGGUGGCGAGUGGCGGACGGGUGAGGAAUACAUCGGAAUCUACUUUUUCGUGGGGGAUAACGUAGGGAAACUUACGCUAAUACCGCAUACGACCUACGGGUGAAAGCAGGGGAUCUUCGGACCUUGCGCGAUUGAAUGAGCCGAUGUCGGAUUAGCUAGUUGGCGGGGUAAAGGCCCACCAAGGCGACGAUCCGUAGCUCGUCUGAGAGGAUGAUCGGCCACCCUGGAACUGAGACACGGUCCAGACUCCUACGGGAGGCAGCAGUGGGGAACAGUAGGCAAAGGGCGGAAGCCUGACCCAGCCAUCCCGCGUGUGUGAAGAAGGCCUUCGGGUCGUAAAGCCCUUUUGUUGGGAAAGAACAGCAGUAGGUUAAUACCCCGCUGUUCUGACGGUACCCAAUGAAUAAGCACCGGCUAACUACGUG
This 492-nucleotide ribosomal RNA is filed under the name uncultured bacterium. RNAcentral's name for it is "partial 16S ribosomal RNA". It matches the Rfam family "Bacterial small subunit ribosomal RNA", at positions 29 to 507 of the family's 1533-position model. The record is from RNAcentral.